ACACGACUACAUUAGAUACCCCGGUAGUCCUGGCCGUAAACGAUGUGGACUUGGUGUUGGAAUGGCUCCGAGCUGCUCCAGUGCCGAAGGGAAGCUGUUAAGUCCACCGCCUGGGAAGUACGGUCGCAAGGCUGAAACUUAAAGGAAUUGGCGGGGAGCACCACAACGGGUGGAGCCUGCGGUUUAAUUGGACUCAACGCCGGAAAUCUCACCGGAUAGGACAGACAUAUGAUAGUCGGGCUGAAGACUCUACUUGAUGAUCUG
Molecule: ribosomal RNA, 264 nt
Filed under: uncultured archaeon
Lineage: Archaea
Description: partial 16S ribosomal RNA
Rfam family: Archaeal small subunit ribosomal RNA
Source: RNAcentral